CGUAUCACUUAAAGCGAUUCAGCGGGUUACGAUUGACGGAGCGAAGCGACGUCAAAGCGUAUACAAAGUCGAGUCGGUUUAAGGAUACGUUCGUUGGGUAGGGGAGCGUUCUGUAAGCCUGUGAAGGUGUGUCGUGAGGCAUGCUGGAGGUAUCAGAAGUGCGAAUGCUGACAUAAGUAACGAUAAAGCGGGUGAAAAGCCCGCUCGCCGGAAGACCAAGGGUUCCUGUCCAACGUUAAUCGGGGCAGGGUGAGUCGACCCCUAAGGCGAGGCCGAAAGGCGUAGUCGAUGGGAAACGGGUUAAUAUUCCCGUACUUGGUGUUACUGCGAAGGGGGGACGGAGAAGGCUAUGUUGGCCGGGCGACGGUUGUCCCGGUUUAAGCGUGUAGGUGUGUGUUCCAGGUAAAUCCGGUUCACUUUAACACUGAGGCGUGAUGACGAGGCACUACGGUGCUGAAGCAACAAAUGCCCUGCUUCCAGGAAAAGCCUCUAAGCAUCAGGUAACAUCAAAUCGUACCCCAAACCGACACAGGUGGUCAGGUAGAGAAUACCAAGGCGCUUGAGAGAACUCGGGUGAAGGAACUAGGCAAAAUGGUGCCGUAACU
This 605-nucleotide ribosomal RNA is filed under the name Salmonella enterica subsp. enterica serovar Infantis. RNAcentral describes it as "partial 23S ribosomal RNA". It matches the Rfam family "Bacterial large subunit ribosomal RNA", at positions 1154 to 1735 of the family's 2925-position model. The record is from RNAcentral. Lineage: Bacteria; Pseudomonadati; Pseudomonadota; Gammaproteobacteria; Enterobacterales; Enterobacteriaceae.